GACGAACGCUGGCGGCGUGCUUAACACAUGCAAGUCGAACGGUGAAGCGCCUUCCUUUUUGGUGGGUGUGGUGAGUGGCGAACGGGUGAGGAACACGUUGGUAAACUUCCCCCUUCUUCUGGGAAAACGGCAUAAAUGAGGGGCAAACCGGGUAAUUUCUGGGUCUGUCCCUGAAGGGCCUGGGGAAGAGAUUGUUUCGGAUGGGGCUGGGGCCGGCGGCCUAUCAGCUUGUUGGUGGGGGGAUGGACUACCAAGGCGGUGACGGGUUGCCGGCCUGGGAGGGUGGACGGUCAUACUGGGAAGGAGACACGGACCAGACUCCUACGGGAGGCAGCAGUGGGGAAUAGUGCACAAUGGGCGCAAGCCUGAUGCAGCGACGCCGCGUGAGGGAUGGAGGCCUUCGGGUUGUGAACCUCUUUCGCCAGUGAAGCAGGCCUGCCUCGUUUGUGGGUGGGUUGACGGUAGCUAGAGAAGAAGCGCCGGCUAACUACGUG
This 494-nucleotide ribosomal RNA is filed under the name uncultured bacterium. RNAcentral describes it as "partial 16S ribosomal RNA". It matches the Rfam family "Bacterial small subunit ribosomal RNA", at positions 28 to 507 of the family's 1533-position model. The record is from RNAcentral.